This 756-nucleotide ribosomal RNA is filed under the name uncultured bacterium. RNAcentral's name for it is "bacterial SSU rRNA". It matches the Rfam family "Bacterial small subunit ribosomal RNA", at positions 8 to 796 of the family's 1533-position model. The record is from RNAcentral.
AGAGUUUGAUCAUGGCUCAGAAUCAACGCUGGCGGCGUGCCUAACACAUGCAAGUCGCACGAGAAAGGGGCUUCGGUCCUGAGUAAAGUGGCGCACGGGUGAGUAACACGUGAAUAAUCUACCUCCGAGUGGGGAAUAACUGAGAGAAAUCUUAGCUAAUACCGCAUAACACUUACGAGUCAAAGCAGCAAUGCGCUUGGAGAGGAGUUCGCGGCCGAUUAGUUAGUUGGCGGGGUAAUGGCCCACCAAGACGAUGAUCGGUAUCCGGCCUGAGAGGGCGCACGGACACACUGGAACUGAAACACAGUCCAGACUCCUACGGGAGGCAGCAGUGGGGAAUUUUGCGCAAUGGGGGAAACCCUGACGCAGCAACGCCGCGUGGAGGAUGAAGUAUCUUGGUACGUAAACUCCUUUCGAUUGGGAAGAUAAUGACGGUACCAAUAGAAGAAGCCCCGGCUAACUUCGUGCCAGCAGCCGCGGUAAUACGAGGGGGGCAAGCGUUGUUCGGAUUUAUUGGGCGUAAAGGGUGCGUAGGCGGUUUGGCAAGUCUUGUGUGAAAUCUUCGGGCUCAACCCGAAGCCUGCACAAGAAACUGCCGGGCUUGAGUAUGGGAGAGGUGAGUGGAAUUUCCGGUGUAGCGGUGAAAUGCGUAGAUAUCGGAAGGAACACCUGUGGCGAAAGCGGCUCACUGGACCAUAACUGACGCUGAGGCACGAAAGCUAGGGGAGCAAACAGGAUUAGAUACCCUAGUAGUCC